RNAcentral lists this long non-coding RNA (2640 nucleotides) under Linum usitatissimum (flax). Its description in RNAcentral is "long non-coding RNA (LUSI_LNC005110)". Lineage: Eukaryota; Viridiplantae; Streptophyta; Magnoliopsida; Malpighiales; Linaceae. The record is from RNAcentral.
GCAGGACCAUCUGAAUUUUUUAAGCUGAUUUGAGUCUUUUUGUUUUUCCUGUAAUUCUGUUUGAUUCUUUCGGUUAAUUUUAUUCACAAGAGUGAGUCUUUAAUAAUAACUAGAUUCUUGUAACGCGCGAUGCCACUUAUCCUGUAAUAAACGUGUAGUAUAUGCAUGUUCACCCGUUAAAAAAAAGAUAUUUGUCAUAUAUUAAGCGACUGAGCAUCAAACGUAACGCUUUGUUUUUAAUUCACAUGUAGUAUUAGCCAAUUCAGAUCAGACAGUUACCUCAACCUCCAAACAGCUGUAAACCACACGAACAGUAAUAAUAAAUCAAUAAGGAAAGUAAAGCAGGCAACAAAAGCACCCAAGAGCGCACGUAGCAUCCACAAUUACAACAAUUUGCACAGGUGCAGCUGCAGAACUCCGACCCGAAUAUGAACAGCAAGCACAAUGUGCUUAAGAACACAAUUUUGAUUGCAGAUGAGACCUACUUCGCAAACCUAUACAUGCAAAUUGAAUUAGGUUGUUCCAUAGUAGGUUAACUGGACAAAUUGCAACAGUAAACAACUGGCACUUCCGUAAUAAAAACCAGAAGCAACGGGGAACCCUUGAUGGAAGGAGGCUAAUGCAACAAAGUACCAAUUCAAAAGGAACCAUCCAUUAGCAUAGGUAACUGAACAAAACGCAAAGACAAGCGGAGAACAUGAAAGGAGAAGGAAGAGGCAACGAAGAAGGCACGACGACACCUAUGCAUAUUCCGGAUUCCAGAACAAGUCUUGCAUCUCCCAAAAUAGUUGUCACACUUGUACCUUUUGACUAUGCUGCCAGGAUAUCAACUCUAGAUGUUGUCAUGGCUGCAUAUGACCACUGAGUCAUCAGGUUUAAGCCAAGGGAAACAUGAAGUCAACAAACAGAACUCAAAAGUGUUUGGCCUGACAUUGAUCUUCAUACAUUGGAGGACAAAUAUGUACUGUAGGAUUUGGUUGUAUCUGGUUGAUUUGGAGCAUUUGAGAACAUCAUUUGCAUUAGUUUUGUUCUUGAAAGAAAGAGGAAAUGGGAAAGAAAAUACCACGUCUUGUUGUUUGAGUUUCCUAUUUUAGCUCCACCAGCACCAAGCAUCAGGUACUAAUGGUCCAUUUCCUUCGUCGCUAACCUCGCAAUAUACAAAUUUUCAUUGCACCAGAUUUUCAUCCAAAGAAUCCGAGUAGCAAUACCUGCAUUAAUCGCAUGCGAAAACCAGUCAUCAAUAGUGUGGAUUGCCUUCUUACAAACAAAUUCAGACCUUUCAAGUUAAGACCUGGUUUCAAUAAAAUUCUACUCAUUCAAAAAUCUGUCCAUCAUAUCCUACUGUUGUCUUUGGCGAGAGUCGAGUACUUUCUCAAUAGCACUGUUUCCAGAUUCAAUGGCACACCUUGGAUUAAUGGACAUAAACUUGUAUCACAUGCGUAAGAGGGAUGCAAGAAGGUUAGCCAUGCAGCAAAAGCAACACUUGGGGAAAUGACUUAGCACCCAUGAGUUCAUCCUCAUCAGACACAUUGUCACUUCUACCCAGAGUCCCUUAGAUUUCACCACCAACUUCCAUCACGUCCAUCUCAUUUUGCAAGUCCAACAGAGAAUAAAUGAGUUAAGAUAGUAUAAUGUGAAAGCUAUAAUGCACAAUACAUAUAUAAAUAUCUUGAAUCUACAGUCUGCAUCAUCCCUUUCAACUCUCUAUUCACAGACUUUAGAGUUUUUUGCCAAAAAAGAUUAGAGUUGACAUCUGAACGCAAGAAAGCAAAAACAACACAAAACUAAGUAAAUAGCCAUUCAAAGUAUAACAACAGACUUCUACAUAAUCCCACAGUGGUAUUAGAGUAAACAAAGUUGAUUCAGGAAAUACUAUUAUUAAAAUAAUUAAAGCGUAUAGUUGGUUGAACAUCCCACAUGAGGAAAACACCUUGGUAAAGGUAAAAAAUGAAUCAAUAAUCAUUGUGGAAGAAAUUCCAAGCAGUGCCACAUAUGAGCGUUUGGAUCAUAGCAAAAUCCGAACUUCACAACAAUAUUGUGUUAGGCAACUGCAAUAUGGAUUGAGGCCAGAUCAAGUCCUCUGCAAGAUUGCGAUUAAAGAAGAGGUUUAAUCAGAGAUGAACAAACACAGAUUGAGGAGGGAAAAGAGGUACCUUAGCAUACAGCAAGUGAGUGGAUUCAACGCCAAAUCUUUUGCAGCCAGCCGUCCACUCUAGUCCUUCCAUCUAUUUCAACUGGCCGACCAUAUUUUGGUAGAGAGAAAGAAGUGGAAGAAGAUGAGAGGAAAGCUUCCUCGCAGAUAAGGGGGUGAGAGAGAUGGGUGAAAAGCUCUGAACAGAUAAGGUGUAGAGAAAGGAAAGGAAGAAAAGACGGCAAAAGCAUCAGAGACGACGUGAAAAGGCAAACUCAAUUGAACAGUACCAACGAAUUGGGUUUGCACACAAUCGGCGAGCGGUGGAGUUAACAGGACUGAACUAAAUCAGUCAAAUGCGAACUGGAGCAUAACUAAGGAACUCCUAACUAAACAAUCAGCCUUACACUCAUACUUGGAACGGAACUAAGCAAAGUAACCAAGGGGUGUCAGACGCAAAAAAGCAGACAGGAAGAAAACCCCUUAAUGAACAGGGAAAUACGUAAUAG